RNAcentral lists this ribosomal RNA (2902 nucleotides) under human gut metagenome. RNAcentral describes it as "bacterial LSU rRNA". It matches the Rfam family "Bacterial large subunit ribosomal RNA". The record is from RNAcentral.
UUAAGCGACUAAGCGUACACGGUGGAUGCCCUGGCAGUCAGAGGCGAUGAAGGACGUGCUAAUCUGCGAAAAGCGUCGGUAAGGUGAUAUGAACCGUUAUAACCGGCGAUACCCGAAUGGGGAAACCCAGUGUGUUUCGACACACUAUCAUGUCAUGAAUACAUAGUGGCAUGAGGCGAACCGGGGGAACUGAAACAUCUAAGUACCCCGAGGAAAAGAAAUCAACCGAGAUUCCCCCAGUAGCGGCGAGCGAACGGGGAGGAGCCCAGAGCCUGAAUCAGUGUGUGUGUUAGUGGAAGCGUCUGGAAAGGCGUGCGAUACAGGGUGACAGCCCCGUACACAAAAAUGCACAUAUUGUGAGCUCGAUGAGUAGGGCGGGACACGUGGUAUCCUGUCUGAAUAUGGGGGGACCAUCCUCCAAGGCUAAAUACUCCUGACUGACCGAUAGUGAACCAGUACCGUGAGGGAAAGGCGAAAAGAACCCCGGCGAGGGGAGUGAAAAAGAACCUGAAACCGUGUACGUACAAGCAGUGGGAGCCUCUUAAUGGGGUGACUGCGUACCUUUUGUAUAAUGGGUCAGCGACUUAUAUUCUGUAGCAAGGUUAACCGAAUAGGGGAGCCGAAGGGAAACCGAGUCUUAACUGGGCGUUAAGUUGCAGGGUAUAGACCCGAAACCCGGUGAUCUAGCCAUGGGCAGGUUGAAGGUUGGGUAACACUAACUGGAGGACCGAACCGACUAAUGUUGAAAAAUUAGUGGAUGACUUGUGGCUGGGGGUGAAAGGCCAAUCAAACCGGGAGAUAGCUGGUUCUCCCCGAAAGCUAUUUAGGUAGCGCCUCGUGAAUUCAUCUCCGGGGGUAGAGCACUGUUUCGGCAAGGGGGUCAUCCCGACUUACCAACCCGAUGCAAACUGCGAAUACCGGAGAAUGUUAUCACGGGAGACACACGGCGGGUGCUAACGUCCGUCGUGAAGAGGGAAACAACCCAGACCGCCAGCUAAGGUCCCAAAGUCAUGGUUAAGUGGGAAACGAUGUGGGAAGGCCCAGACAGCCAGGAUGUUGGCUUAGAAGCAGCCAUCAUUUAAAGAAAGCGUAAUAGCUCACUGGUCGAGUCGGCCUGCGCGGAAGAUGUAUCGGGGCUAAACCAUGCACCGAAGCUGCGGCAGCGACACUAUGUGUUGUUGGGUAGGGGAGCGUUCUGUAAGCCUGUGAAGGUGGCCUGUGAGGGUUGCUGGAGGUAUCAGAAGUGCGAAUGCUGACAUAAGUAACGAUAAAGCGGGUGAAAAGCCCGCUCGCCGGAAGACCAAGGGUUCCUGUCCAACGUUAAUCGGGGCAGGGUGAGUCGACCCCUAAGGCGAGGCCGAAAGGCGUAGUCGAUGGGAAACAGGUUAAUAUUCCUGUACUUGGUGUUACUGCGAAGGGGGGACGGAGAAGGCUAUGUUAGCCGGGCGACGGUUGUCCCGGUUUAAGCAUGUAGGCUGGUUGUCCAGGCAAAUCCGGAUAAUCAAGGCUGAGGUGUGAUGACGAGGCACUACGGUGCUGAAGUAACAAAUGCCCUGCUUCCAGGAAAAGCCUCUAAGCAUCAGGUAACAUCAAAUCGUACCCCAAACCGACACAGGUGGUCAGGUAGAGAAUACCAAGGCGCUUGAGAGAACUCGGGUGAAGGAACUAGGCAAAAUGGUGCCGUAACUUCGGGAGAAGGCACGCUGAUAUGUAGGUGAAGCGACUUGCUCGUGGAGCUGAAAUCAGUCGAAGAUACCAGCUGGCUGCAACUGUUUAUUAAAAACACAGCACUGUGCAAACACGAAAGUGGACGUAUACGGUGUGACGCCUGCCCGGUGCUGGAAGGUUAAUUGAUGGGGUCAGCCGCAAGGCGAAGCUCUUGAUCGAAGCCCCAGUAAACGGCGGCCGUAACUAUAACGGUCCUAAGGUAGCGAAAUUCCUUGUCGGGUAAGUUCCGACCUGCACGAAUGGCGUAAUGAUGGCCAGGCUGUCUCCACCCGAGACUCAGUGAAAUUGAACUCGCUGUGAAGAUGCAGUGUACCCGCGGCAAGACGGAAAGACCCCGUGAACCUUUACUAUAGCUUGACACUGAACAUUGAGCCUUGAUGUGUAGGAUAGGUGGGAGGCUUUGAAGUGUGGACGCCAGUCUGCAUGGAGCCGACCUUGAAAUACCACCCUUUAAUGUUUGAUGUUCUAACGUUGGCCCGUAAUCCGGGUUGCGGACAGUGUCUGGUGGGUAGUUUGACUGGGGCGGUCUCCUCCUAAAGAGUAACGGAGGAGCACGAAGGUUAGCUAAUCCUGGUCGGACAUCAGGAGGUUAGUGCAAUGGCAUAAGCUAGCUUGACUGCGAGCGUGACGGCGCGAGCAGGUGCGAAAGCAGGUCAUAGUGAUCCGGUGGUUCUGAAUGGAAGGGCCAUCGCUCAACGGAUAAAAGGUACUCCGGGGAUAACAGGCUGAUACCGCCCAAGAGUUCAUAUCGACGGCGGUGUUUGGCACCUCGAUGUCGGCUCAUCACAUCCUGGGGCUGAAGUAGGUCCCAAGGGUAUGGCUGUUCGCCAUUUAAAGUGGUACGCGAGCUGGGUUUAGAACGUCGUGAGACAGUUCGGUCCCUAUCUGCCGUGGGCGCUGGAGAACUGAGGGGGGCUGCUCCUAGUACGAGAGGACCGGAGUGGACGCAUCACUGGUGUUCGGGUUGUCAUGCCAAUGGCACUGCCCGGUAGCUAAAUGCGGAAGAGAUAAGUGCUGAAAGCAUCUAAGCACGAAACUUGCCCCGAGAUGAGUUCUCCCUGACUCCUUGAGAGUCCUGAAGGAACGUUGAAGACGACGACGUUGAUAGGCCGGGUGUGUAAGCGCAGCGAUGCGUUGAGCUAACCGGUACUAAUGAACCGUGAGGCUUAACCUU